RNAcentral lists this ribosomal RNA (467 nucleotides) under uncultured bacterium. Its description in RNAcentral is "partial 16S ribosomal RNA". It matches the Rfam family "Bacterial small subunit ribosomal RNA", at positions 29 to 507 of the family's 1533-position model. The record is from RNAcentral.
AUGAACGCUGGCGGCGUGCUUAACACAUGCAAGUCGAACGGUGAAGGCGGAGCUUGCUCUGCUGGAUCAGUGGCGAACGGGUGAGUAACACGUGAGCAAUCUGCCCCUGACUCUGGGAUAAGCGCUGGAAACGGCGUCUAAUACUGGAUACGAGCUGCGAAGGCAUCUUCAGCAGCUGGAAAGAACUUCGGUCAGGGAUGAGCUCGCGGCCUAUCAGCUUGUUGGUGAGGUAACGGCUCACCAAGGCGUCGACGGGUAGCCGGCCUGAGAGGGUGACCGGCCACGCUGGGACUGAGACACGGCCCAGACUCCUACGGGAGGCAGCAGUGGGGAAUAUUGCACAAUGGGCGAAAGCCUGAUGCAGCAACGCCGCGUGAGGGACGACGGCCUUCGGGUUGUAAACCUCUUUUAGCAGGGAAGAAGCGAAAGUGACGGUACCUGCAGAAAAAGCGCCGGCUAACUACGUG